GAUGAACGCUGGCGGCGUGCCUAAUACAUGCAAGUCGAGCGAACGGACGAGAAGCUUGCUUCUCUGAUGUUAGCGCCGGACGGGUGAGUAACACGUUGACAACCGCCCUAUAAGACUGGCAUAACUUCGGGAAACCGGAGCUAAUACCGGAUGAUAUUUUGCACAGCAUGGUUCAAAAGUGAAAGACGGUCUUGCUGCCACUUAUAGAUGGAUCCGCGCUGCAUUAGCUAGUUGGUAAGGUAACGGCUUACCAAGGCAACGAUGCAUAGCCGACCUGGGAGGGUGAUCGGCCACACUGGACCCGAGACACGGGCGAGAGUCCUACACAAAGCAGCAGAAGGCAAUCUCCUGAGCAGGGCGAAAGCCUGACGGAGCAACGCCGCGAAGGUGAUAGAGGUCUUCGGAGCGUAAAACUCUGUAAUUAGGGAAGAACAGAUGUGUAAGUAACUGUGCACAUCUUGACGUUACCUAAUCAGAGAGCCACGGCUAACUACGUG
Molecule: ribosomal RNA, 497 nt
Filed under: uncultured bacterium
Lineage: Bacteria
Description: partial 16S ribosomal RNA
Rfam family: Bacterial small subunit ribosomal RNA
Source: RNAcentral